Long non-coding RNA from Loxodonta africana (African savanna elephant), 10361 nucleotides. RefSeq lists it as uncharacterized. The transcript has 4 exons. Lineage: Eukaryota; Metazoa; Chordata; Mammalia; Proboscidea; Elephantidae. The record is from RefSeq and is a predicted model, not a curated record.
UUAGGGGUACGGCCUGCAUCCAAUAUGUAUGGAUGUUCUAGCAAAGUUCCCUCUCUCUCAAUCUUGCAUUUGAUCCUGCAUUCACCUCGUCAUCCCCUAACCUCCAGUUCUUGGCAUGUGAGCCAGCAGCCUGCCACCUGACUUGCAGAUUUUGAAUUUGCCAGCUCCUGCAACCCUGUGAGCCAGCAGCCUGCUGCACGACUUGCAGAUUUUGGGUUCAUCAGUCCCUGCAACCACGUGAGUUGGGAGAAGCCUCCACCCUGCCACUGACCCAAGGAUUUGUGACUUGCCAGCCUUUACAAUUGCAUGAGCCAUUUCCUUGAAAUAAAUCUAUAUAUGUUUCUGGAGCCCUGAUGGCACAGUGGUUAAGAGUUUGGCUGUUAACAACAACAAAAAAAAUGUUGACAGUUUGAAUCCACCAGCUGCUCCUUGGAAACCCUGUGGGGCAGUUCUAUUCUGUCCAAUAGGAUUGUUAUGAGAAGCCAUGGUAACACAGUGGUUAAGCACUUGGCUGCUAACAGAAAGGUUAAUGGUUCAAACCCACCAGCCACUCCAAGGGAGAAAGAUGUGGCAGUCUGCUUCCAUAAAGACUACAUUCUUGGAAACCCUAUGGGAUAGUUCCACUUUGUCCUAUAGAGUCACUAUGAGUUGGGUCAACUUGAUGGUAGUGGAGUGUCUUAGUUAUCUAGUGCUGCUUUAACAGAAAUACCACAAGUGGAUUGCUUUAACAAAGAGAAGUUUAUUUCUUCACAGUAAAGUAGGGUAAAAGUAUAAAUUCAGGGUGUCAGCUCCAGGGUAAGGCUUUCUGUCUCUGUCAGCCUUCUCAUCAAUCUUCCCCCAGACUAGGAGCUUCUCUGCGCAGGGACCCUGGGUCCAAAGCACUUGCUAUGUUCCCAGCACUGCUUUCUUGGUGGUGUGAGGUCCCUUCUCUCUGCUUGCUUUCUUUACCUUUUUAUCUCUUGAGAGAUAAAAGGUGGUGCAGGCCACAUCCUAAGGAAACUCCCUUUAUAUCAGAUCAGGAUGUGACUUGGGUAAGAGUGUUACAAUCCCACCCUAAUCCUGUUUAACAUAAAAUUACAACCACAAAAUGGAGGACAGCCACACAAUACUGGGAAUCAUGGCCUAACCAAGUUGACAUGUAUUUUUGGGAGCCACAAUUCAAUCCAUGACAUGGGGUUUUAUAUAAAUAUUUAUGUAUACAUUUUCCUAGUUUUGCUCCUCUGGAGAACCCAGCCUAAAACAUUUGGUACUGAGAAGUGGGGAUGCUGCUCUAACAAAUACCUACAAUGUGGAAGUGGUUUUGAAAUUGGGUAAUGGGUGGAAGCUGGGAGAGUUUUAAGGUGCCUAAUAGUAAAAGCCUAGACUGCCUUGAAGAAACUGUUGGUAGAAUUAUAAGACAUCAAAGACAAUUCUGGUGACGGCUCAGAAGAAAGUGAGAAGAGCUACAGAGAAAAUCUCUAUUGUGUUAGAGAAUUCAUAUGGUGCCAGCAACAGAAUGUUGCUAGAAAUGUGGAUAUUAAAUGUGUUACUGGUGAGGCUUUAAAAGAAAAUGAUGAAUGUGUGAUUGGACAGUGGGAGAAGGCCAGUGCUUUUUAGGCAGUGGCAAAGAACAUGUCUGAAUUAUGUUCAAAUGUUUAUUAAAAGGUAGAACUUGUAAGUGAUGACCUUGGAUAUCUGGCUGAGGGGAUUUGUAAGCAAGAUCUUAAGGGGGCUUCAUGGUUUCUCCUUGAUGCUUACAGAAAAAUGUGAGAAGCAGGAGAUGGACUUAAAAAUGAACUGUGCAAAAUGAAAAUAAAACUUAAAGAUUUGGAAAAUCCUGUUGUACACACUAAGAACACAUGUCUUAGAAUGUUCACCAAGGAUGUGGCUACAUGAUCUUUUGUUAAAGAGAUUAAGCCUGUGACUGAUGGAUUUAACCAACUACCACAGCAGAAAACUCAUCAGCUUAUAUUGAUGGGGACAAAGUAUGAAAGGAAAGAACACUGUCUGCCUCUUGAAAUUCUACAGGCAAAAAACAGGCCAAAGGAGAGACAUCUGUUGUCCUCCAAAAAAAGAAAAGACCCUCCUUGGAGCAGCUCAGAGAUCAGCAGAACUAUUGGAAGGAGCAUAGAAAGCAGGGCUGCCUUGGUUUCAAAGGGUGGAGUCAUGAUCUCCUAGGUUUCAAAGAGCUGCAUCUUCGCCAACUCUGUUCCAGAGUAUGGGGCUCCCAUUCAUGAUGGCCAGGGGGAUGGAGCCAUUGCCUAAAACUUAGGGGGCAGGGCUGCCAUGCCCAAGGGGUGGAAGAAUGGGGCCUGUUGGGACCAAGGGGGUGGGGUUGCCAUUCAGAUCAUCUAGGAGAAUAGGGCCACCCGAAGCUGAGGGAGCAGAGUCACCAUCCCAGUGGGCCUGGGCUUCAGCUCUGCCUUCCAGUUCUUCUGGGCCUUGGACUUGCUGGGUGCCCGCUAUCCUUUCUUUCCCUUCAAUUUCUCCCAUUUGUAAUAGAAAUGUCUACCCUGUGCCUGUUUCACCACCAUAUUUUGGAAGCAGGCAACCUGUAUUCUAGAUUUCACAGGUUCUUUUCAGAGGAAGAGGGUUUUUUUCCCAGGAUGGAAUAUGCUUUACCUAUAUUUGAUUUAGAUGACUCAGAGGUCAAGAUUUUGAAUUCGUAAUUGUUUAGGACUUCCAGUAUGAGGUGAUGGGGUAAAUGUGUUUUCCAUGUUGCAAGGGCAUGAAUUUUGCGGGGCCAAAGAGUGGAAUGUUAUGGAUUGAUGGGUCUCUCAAAAAUAUGUGUUGUAUAUCCUAAUAUCUAUGCCUGUGGUUAUAAACCCGUUUAGGCAUGGGUUGUCUUUGUUAUGUUAACGAGGCAGAAUUAGUGUAGGGUGUGUCUUGAGUCAAUCUAUUUUGAAAUAUAAAAAAGGUGAAACAACCAGUGAAAGAAGCAGAGAUGGGGAAGAGAGAUGCCAAGCCACAUGAAGAUUGCCCAGAGCAGAAACUCAAAAGAGACAAGGACCUUCCUCCAGAGCUGACAGAGAGAGAGGAAGCCUUCCCCUAGAGCCAGCACCCUGGAUUUGGACUUCUAGCCUCCUAAACUGAUGGGCUUGGGAAUCAGGAGAAGAAUCAAAUACUGUGCUAUGAUCCCUAUAUUUAGAGGCUUACUGCCCCAUUUUGUAUGGUAUUUUCAAUCACUUCAUAUGCAUGCAAAAGCUGGACAAUGAAUAAGGAAGACCAAAGAAGAAUUGAUGGAUCUGAAUUAUGGUCUUUGUGAAGAAUAUUGACUAUACCAUGAACUGCCAGAAGAACAAACAAAUCUAUCUUGAAAGAAGUACAGCCAGAAUGCUCCUUAGAAGGAAGGAUGGCGAGACUGCGUCUCGUGUACUUUGGACAUGUUAUCAGUUGGGACCAGUCCCUGGAGAAGGACAUUAUGCUUGGUAAAGUCGGCCCUCAAUGAGAUGAAUUGACACAGUGGCUGCGAUAAUGGACUCAAACACAGCAAUGAUUGUGAGGAUGGCACAGGACCAGAACACAUCCAGAAAUGAUACAGGAAGUGAGAAGAGAAAGAUCAUCAGGGAUUAAAGGUGUGGAAUCAGAAUGGAGAUGCGUUCUGAGCAAGACCUUAAAAGAUAACAUGUGUCCACGGCUGAGUGACACUUUUGAUGCCAUGGGGUAAAAGCAACUGAACAUGUUGGUGACCCACGGAAAAUGGUGCUGGGUUAUAGUGUAUAUUAUUAUUUUACGAAGAACUGGAAGAAAAGCCUGGAGAUCUAUUAAAAACCAGCCAGUGAAAACCUUAUGUAUCACAACAGUCCAGUCUCCAACUGAUCAUGGGGAUGGCCCAGGACUGGGUAGCAUUUACUUCCAUUCUGCAUGGAAUUCCUGCGAAUUGCCGUUGACUUUGAUGGCAGCUAACAACAACAUGAAGAAACCGGUUUUUAAAGUCUGGCUUUUGACAACGAUGCUAUCUAUAUUCUUGGGCACUUACAUCACUUGUAAAUAAUACACACAAAAUGGGUGUGAUGUCAUUCUACCAGUGCUGAAGUUCUGGCGUACUAACACAAUAUCAGUGAGUAACAUAUCCAUAAGAGGAUCCCUGGGGGUGCGGUGGUUAAAGUGCUCAGCUGCUAACGGAAAUUUCGGUGGUUCAAACCCACCAGCCACUCCAUGGGAGAAAGAUAUGAGUCUGCUUCCGUAAAGAUUACAGCCUUAGAAACCCUAUGGGGCAGUUCUACUCUGUCCUACAGGGUUGCUAUGAGUCAGAAUCAACUUGAGGGCAAUGGGUUUGUUUUUUCUUAGCAUAUCCAUGUGUAGAGAAUGUGUAAGGGCACCCAGACAGCUUGUGUAGAGAGCUGCGUAGGAUAAGCGAAAAGAGAGAGGAGUAAUUUUAGUUCUGUUUCCCAUGUUACUGUUAUCAUUUUAUACUAUCUAAAUUCUAAUCUGGGUUUAUUUUCUGAUAAGCUUCUUUCACCUAAUUUUCUUACUUCUUUUUCUUUUUCCUGUUCUUAUAAAAGAUGUGACAAAAAGAGUACUAUUUUUGUAUCUCUGUUACUUAAUAAUGAUUGGACUACCAAUUCAGGUCAUUCAGUACCUUACGUCAACAUUUCACUUACCCAGAAGACCAGAGAGGCAGCACUGAGGCUUGAGCCCUAUCCUGGAGAGUCUGAUUCAGUCGGACAGAAGUAGUUCUGAGAAAUUCAUUUUUUAACAAGUUCCUCAGGUGGUUCUGAUACCCAACCAGGGUUUUGAAUCUUAAAGUCAGUCACUCUCUUUCAAUACUUCCAUCACCACUCCGUCCAUGCCUCAUGCAGGAAGCACAGUAAUCUUUCCUUUAAGAUUAAUCUCGAUGAUGACUUAAUGUAUUACCUCCUCCACUUGACGUUUGGAUUUUAAAGUAGACUCUAAUGUGUUAAAAUAUUUCUGUUUCUAUUUUUUUAAAUGAAAAUAAAGAAGUAAAAUUUUAUCUACUUUCUAAAAUGUGUGAGGGCUAACCAUAGAAUAAAUAAAACUAAAAGAAAUAAAAUAUUCAUUAUACCUUCAACCUAUUCUUUAUUUUCAAGAACUGGUGACCUUUCGGCAGGCAGAUAUAGUCUAGUGGAGAAAGUACUCAACUAGGCCCUCAGCAUUCCAAGUUUAAUUUCCCAUCUGUUUUCUUUUGAGAUCCCACCAUUCUUAGGAUCGUCUAAGAACGUAAAGAGGUGGUUUACUCAGUUGAAAAUGUUCAGUCCACUUCCCAAGACCAACGAGAAAAAAGAGUGGAGAGUCUAAUCCAUUCACUACUUGUGUGCUCCUGAUGCCACACAAGAUCUGAUGGACUCUUGCAGUCGUGCCCUUGAUGGCUAGCUUCUUGGCUAGGCCAGAACUCUGCACUUAGGGGUUCUAGUUACAGCCUCCUUUAUUUCACAUUCUCGUGCUUCCCAAAACAACACUUGUCCCCAGGGCUUCUAGACUAAUCAUUUUUUAUGUGUGGCAAAACUAGUCUUCUCUCAAGAAUUUGUAGACACCCACAAUAAGCCUAUCACCCUAGCUCAGACUCCUCCUUUCCACAUGGUGAAUAGGUGUCCUCUCUGUCUGGCAGAGUACUCAAAUUUUAACUUGCAUUGAAAUCACCUGGAGGACUUGUUAAAACUUAGGUUGCUGUGCCUCACAUCCAGAGUUUCCUACUCAGUAGGUUUGGAGUGAAACUCAAGAAUUUGUUUUUCUAAAAAGUUCCCAGAUGAGGCUGUAGCUGUUGGUCUGGUGACCACAUUUUGUGAACCACUGUUGUUGUUGUUGCUAUUGUUAAGUGCUGUCAAGCCAGUUCUGACUCAUAACGACCCUCUGUACAGCAGAAUGAAACACUGCCCGGUCCUGCACAUCCUCACAAUUGUUGCUAUGUUUGAGCCCACUGUUGCAGUCAUUGUGUCAGUCCAUCUUGUUGAGGGUCUUCCUCUCUUUCACCGACCCUCUUCUUUAUCAAGCAUGAUGACCAUCUCCAGAGACUGAUCCUUCCUGAUAACAUGUUCAAAAUAUGUGAGACAUAGUCUUGCCGUCCUUGCUUCUAAGGAGAAUUUUGGUUGCACUUUUUCCAAGACAGAUUUGUUUGCUCUUUUGGCAGUCCAUGGUAUAUUCGAUAUUCUUCGCCAACACCACAAUUCACAGAUGUUAUUUCUUCUUCAGUCUUCCUUAUUCAUUGUCCAGCUUUUGCAUGCAUAUGAGGUGACAUCUUUGUUUUUUAAUACUUUAAAGAGGUCUUUUGCAGCAGAUUUGCCCAAUGCAAUGGGUCAUUUGAUUUAUGAACCACUAGGCUGGCAAAUCUUUAUUUCACUGGAGAAAUCUUGAGGAUUGGAAUUGGGAACUUGAUUAUUUCUAGGGAUACUUAAUGCUACAACACCCAAAGUCAAAAAGGUUUAGCUAUCCAGUAUCCAUGACAGUGGAUUCCUACUCACUGUACAUUUGAUCAUUAAAAGCCACCUUUGAAUAAUUGCUUCCUGAAUAACAAGGCCUGACUUGUUUUCAUACGCAUAGGGAGAAUCUGGAAGUGGAUUUUCCUGUGUCUUUUUUGUUUUUAUUUUGAAUUGUUCUUUAAAGGUAUACAUUACUAGGAGCUGGUUUAUUCUAAAAUUCAGAAUGACAGAAUCAGAAUACAAAAAAGGAAAAAUAAAUCUUGAUAAUCUGACAGUACAAUUCAGUGUAAUCCAACAAAUUGAACUGAGUUGUUAGUAGAUAAUAAUGACUUAAUUGAUGUAUUACCUCUUCCACUUCAUGUUUGCAUUUUGAAAUAGACUAAUGUGUUAAAGAAGGAGCCCUGGUGGCACAGUGGCCAUGUACUUGGCUAUACUGAAAGGCCAAGAUUUGAACCCACCAGCCACUCUGUGGGAGAAAGAUGUGAUAGUCUGCUUCUGUAAAGAUUUACAGCCUUGGAAACCUUAUGGGGAAGUUUUACUGUCUAUAUGGGGCCCUGGUGGCACAGUGGUUAAGAACUUGGCUGCUAACCAAAAGGUCGGCAGUUUGAGUCCACCAGCCACUCCUUGGAAACCCUGUGGGGCAGUUCUACUCUGUCCCAUAUGGUCGCUAUGAGUCAGAAUCGACUCAGUGGCAAGGGGUUUAUAGGGUCACUAUUUUUUUAUGAGUCAGAAUUGAGUCGACGGCAAUGGAUUUGGUGGUUUCAAUGUGUUAAAGUAGAGCAUUAGUUCUCAAACAUUACAGUAUAUAUGAAUUACAAGAUAUUUUUGCUAAAAAUACAGAGUCCUGAGCUCCAUUCAUAAAGAUUUUCAUUCAGUAGAUUGGGUGACCUCAGGAGUCUUUAUUUUUAGUAAGAACACUUGGUAAUUCUAAUGCUGAAAACCACUAUAUGAGGAAGAUUGAAUUAGAAGAAUGAGUAAUAUGGUAAUUUUGAAGAUCUGCAUCUGGACAGUGGGGAGAGAUUUGAGAAGUAGGGUGUGUAUGAUUACUUUGCAAGACUCUGGCUUAUCUUGUAUAUAAACUAUGAUAAACUAACAAAUAUGAACACAGUACUUCCCAAACUGAGUCAAACUGAGUGUUCAUAAGUUUCUGAAUGGUUUCCUGCUCCUCUGCUUAUUUUGAAGGUGCUCAAUGUCUCUCCAAAACCUCAACUCUGAAUUGAGAAGAAAAAAGAAACAUGUUGCUUAAAGGGAAAUGAAAAAGAAAACAAAGAAUGAGUUAGUGGUUUAGAGUAGUACAAGGGUACAGUAUGGAACAGUAGGAAGAAUACAGAUUGGGAGUCUAGAGAAUUGGGGGUCUGAAAACUUGGAUUGUGCCUUGAUACUGCCUCUGGCUCUCUAUAGGACUGAGGUUUAACUAAGAACUCACUUUAAGAACUAAGGUUCCCAUUGGUGUAAAGUUGACAGUAGAUUAGGUGAUCUUUAAAGUUCUAUUAAAAAAAAUCAAACCAAACCCAUUGCCACUGAGUUGAUUCUGACUCACACUGACCCUAUAGGACAGAGUAGAACUGCCCCAUAGAGUUUCCAAGGAAUGCCUGGUAGAUUCGAACUGAUGACCUUUUGGUUAGCAACCAUAACUCUUAACCACUAAGCCUCCAGGGUUUCCGUAUAAUUUAUCCAACAAGUGGUUAUGGAAAUCCUGAGGAGUUGUGAUGGAGACAACCUAAUACUUUUAAUCUUUCACAAAUCAGUGAAUGAUCAACGAUAAAUAGUAAUAAUUAUAAUAGUAAAUCUUGAUAUCCUCAAAGGACACCCAGUAAAUAACAUUCCUCUUCCCCCUCAGGCUUCUAAACCUGUUAAGAAGUAAGGUAACUGAAUGAAAUAGAGAGAUAAAUAACAUCUUGAAUAUGAAUAGAGUCCAGGUUGGAGGAUGUGACUUGAAAUUAUACCCACUAAUCAUGACAAUGUUAAACUAGGACAGGCCUCCCCACAUGAAAGGACUUCCCAGGUAAGAUUUAGGGCGUGGAAGAGCCAAAUAUAUCUCUGUUCUCCGUGAUUUCUGUGGACAUGCUUGCUCCUUGGAGCUGAAUGUGGAAGUUGUUCUUUCCAAAUUUACUAAUCAGAUAAGUUUUUUCCUAGAAGAAGAGUGAAUAGAACAUCUAGAGAGCCCAUUGCAGAUCUCUGGACCUGGAAGGAGCCCUCAGUAGUGGGGAAGAUAUGCUUUAUCUCCUACAUCUCUCCCCACCCCAUGAAGCCCAUGAGGUCUGUAAAGGUGAAUUGCUUAGCAGGGUCCCACAAAGGAAGGGGCAGAACUGAGACUGGAGGUCCUUUCUGAGUGACUCCCGGAACAGCACUCUUCUGCCAAGCCUUGAUGGUAGAAAUGGAACCUGGGUGUUUGUGCAGAUAUCCUGGGUUUGGCAUAUCGCUGCUCUCAAAGAACUGUAGUGGUCUUUGGUUUUUCACAAACACGAGACUGUUAUAUUACUUUAUUAAAAAUUAGAAUUACCAGGCUAAAAAACACAGAAGCACUUGUUUCUCAGCAUUCUGGCUUAUUCUUCUUUCUAGUUAAAAUAUAUUUAGAGUUUUUGGACAACUACUUCCCUUUAGAAUUUGGAACUUUAGAAUCUGAAAGUUAGAUGGAAAAUGAAGCUUAUGAAAGUAAGAAUAUUCACAACUCAAAAAAAAAAAAACAAGUAACAGCAGAUGUCUCUGCUUGCAAUAACAGAUUUAUCCUAAAUCUGGAUACAAUGAACUCCUUCUAUUUCCUUAGAUAAGAAGAUCUUUGCCCAGAUUUGAUGGAAUAUUUUUGCCCUGUGAGUUAACAAAUUAAUUUCAGCUUAUAUUUUAAUUAUGUAAAAUGAUGGUGAUUGAAUCCUUCAGCACAUUUUCUUUAGGUGUUAGUUCUAUACAAUGUUUUCCAGUGUCUGACAUAAGCCUGCCAUUCAUUUCAUUUGGUUAUUCUCUCAUUAAUCCCAGCUGGAUCUCAAAAAUAAAGUACAAUUCUUUUAUAGUUAGAUCACCAAACAUUUAGAGAAUUUCAGGUUUUAGGACAUGCAGAGAUUAUUAUAGAAAGCAUUACUGUUAGGUUAAUUAGCUUAGAGAUUUUUUUUGUGUGUGUGCGUGUGCUUCAAAUGAAAGUUUACAAUUCAAGUCAGUUUCCCCUACAAAAACUUACAUACAUAUUGUUUUGUGACCCUAGUUGCUCUUCCUACAAUGUGACAGCACACUCCUUCUCUUCACCCUGUAUUUCCCGUGUCCAUACAACCAUCUCCUGUCCCCCUCUGCCUUCUCAUCUUGCCACCAGACAGGAGCUGCCCACAUAGUCUCAUGUGUCUGCUUGAGCUAAGAAGCACACUCCUCACCAGUAUCAUUUUCUGUCUUAUAGUCCCGUCUAAUCUUUGUCUGAAGAGCUGGCUUUGAGAAUGGUUUUAGUUUUGGGUUAACAGAGAGCCUGGGGGCCAUGACCUCUGGGGUCCCUCCUAGCUUACUGAUCUUACGGUAAAUUCUAACAGGAGAUUUUCCUUUUAUCUAUAACUCUACAUGAUGCUAGACAAUAUAUGAUGCUAGAGAAUUUUUACAUGCACAAAAGCCUGUAAAGAGUGGGGUAAAUGAGGAAAGUAUAUUAUUACAUAGAAAACACCAGAUUUUGACAAAGCCCUGGUGAUGCAGUAGUUGAGAAUUCAGCUGCUAACCAAAUGGUCGGCAGUUUGAAUCUGCCAGCUGCUCCUUGGAAACCCUAUGGGGCAGUUGUACUCUGUCCUGUAGGGUUGCUGUGAGUCAGAAUUGACUCAAUGGCAACAGGUUUGGUUUUUUAAUUGGUAGACACCUUGUAUGUUCUCAAUAAAUGAACUUUGGGUAUACUUUUCCAGAGAAAUGUUGGAGAAUAAAUGACAUUAUCCUUUAUGUUAUGUUUGCUAUGCUAAUUUGAUUCCACAUGUAAUCACACAGUUUAAAAGGGUGGUAUUUUAUAUAAGGUUCUCAGCAAGUACUGAAUUAUUGUUUGUACUA